RNAcentral lists this ribosomal RNA (2923 nucleotides) under Klebsiella pneumoniae. RNAcentral describes it as "bacterial LSU rRNA". It matches the Rfam family "Bacterial large subunit ribosomal RNA". Lineage: Bacteria; Pseudomonadati; Pseudomonadota; Gammaproteobacteria; Enterobacterales; Enterobacteriaceae. The record is from RNAcentral.
GGGUUGUGAGGUUAAGCGACUAAGCGUACACGGUGGAUGCCCUGGCAGUCAGAGGCGAUGAAGGACGUGCUAAUCUGCGAAAAGCGUCGGUAAGGUGAUAUGAACCGUUAUAACCGGCGAUGUCCGAAUGGGGAAACCCAGUGUGAUUCGUCACACUAUCGUUAACUGAAUACAUAGGUUAACGAGGCGAACCGGGGGAACUGAAACAUCUAAGUACCCCGAGGAAAAGAAAUCAACCGAGAUUCCCCCAGUAGCGGCGAGCGAACGGGGAGCAGCCCAGAGUCUGAAUCAGCUUGUGUGUUAGUGGAACGGUCUGGAAAGUCCGACGGUACAGGGUGAUAGUCCCGUACACCAAAAUGCACAGGUUGUGAACUCGAAGAGUAGGGCGGGACACGUGGUAUCCUGUCUGAAUAUGGGGGGACCAUCCUCCAAGGCUAAAUACUCCUGACUGACCGAUAGUGAACCAGUACCGUGAGGGAAAGGCGAAAAGAACCCCGGCGAGGGGAGUGAAAAAGAACCUGAAACCGUGUACGUACAAGCAGUGGGAGCACCUUCGGGUGUGACUGCGUACCUUUUGUAUAAUGGGUCAGCGACUUAUAUUCUGUAGCAAGGUUAACCGUAUAGGGGAGCCGCAGGGAAACCGAGUCUUAACUGGGCGUUAAGUUGCAGGGUAUAGACCCGAAACCCGGUGAUCUAGCCAUGGGCAGGUUGAAGGUUGGGUAACACUAACUGGAGGACCGAACCGACUAAUGUUGAAAAAUUAGCGGAUGACUUGUGGCUGGGGGUGAAAGGCCAAUCAAACCGGGAGAUAGCUGGUUCUCCCCGAAAGCUAUUUAGGUAGCGCCUCGUGAAUUCAUCUUCGGGGGUAGAGCACUGUUUCGGCUAGGGGGUCAUCCCGACUUACCAACCCGAUGCAAACUACGAAUACCGAAGAAUGUUAUCACGGGAGACACACGGCGGGUGCUAACGUCCGUCGUGAAGAGGGAAACAACCCAGACCGCCAGCUAAGGUCCCAAAGUCAUGGUUAAGUGGGAAACGAUGUGGGAAGGCACAGACAGCCAGGAUGUUGGCUUAGAAGCAGCCAUCAUUUAAAGAAAGCGUAAUAGCUCACUGGUCGAGUCGGCCUGCGCGGAAGAUGUAACGGGGCUAAACCAUGCACCGAAGCUGCGGCAGCGACACUAUGUGUUGUUGGGUAGGGGAGCGUUCUGUAAGCCUGCGAAGGUGUGCUGUGAGGCAUGCUGGAGGUAUCAGAAGUGCGAAUGCUGACAUAAGUAACGAUAAAGCGGGUGAAAAGCCCGCUCGCCGGAAGACCAAGGGUUCCUGUCCAACGUUAAUCGGGGCAGGGUGAGUCGACCCCUAAGGCGAGGCCGAAAGGCGUAGUCGAUGGGAAACAGGUUAAUAUUCCUGUACUUGGUGUUACUGCGAAGGGGGGACGGAGAAGGCUAUGUUAGCCGGGCGACGGUUGUCCCGGUUUAAGCAUGUAGGCUGGUUGUCCAGGCAAAUCCGGAUAAUCAAGGCUGAGGUGUGAUGACGAGGCACUACGGUGCUGAAGUAACAAAUGCCCUGCUUCCAGGAAAAGCCUCUAAGCAUCAGGUAACAUUAAAUCGUACCCCAAACCGACACAGGUGGUCAGGUAGAGAAUACCAAGGCGCUUGAGAGAACUCGGGUGAAGGAACUAGGCAAAAUGGUGCCGUAACUUCGGGAGAAGGCACGCUGGUGUGUAGGUGAAGUCCCUGCGGAUGGAGCUGAGACCAGUCGAAGAUACCAGCUGGCUGCAACUGUUUAUUAAAAACACAGCACUGUGCAAACACGAAAGUGGACGUAUACGGUGUGACGCCUGCCCGGUGCCGGAAGGUUAAUUGAUGGGGUUAUCCGUAAGGAGAAGCUCUUGAUCGAAGCCCCGGUAAACGGCGGCCGUAACUAUAACGGUCCUAAGGUAGCGAAAUUCCUUGUCGGGUAAGUUCCGACCUGCACGAAUGGCGUAAUGAUGGCCAGGCUGUCUCCACCCGAGACUCAGUGAAAUUGAACUCGCUGUGAAGAUGCAGUGUACCCGCGGCAAGACGGAAAGACCCCGUGAACCUUUACUAUAGCUUGACACUGAACAUUGAGCCUUGAUGUGUAGGAUAGGUGGGAGGCUUUGAAGCGUGGACGCCAGUCUGCGUGGAGCCAACCUUGAAAUACCACCCUUUAAUGUUUGAUGUUCUAACGUUGGCCCCUUACCGGGGUUGCGGACAGUGUCUGGUGGGUAGUUUGACUGGGGCGGUCUCCUCCCAAAGCGUAACGGAGGAGCACGAAGGUUAGCUAAUCCUGGUCGGACAUCAGGAGGUUAGUGCAAUGGCAUAAGCUAGCUUGACUGCGAGCGUGACGGCGCGAGCAGGUGCGAAAGCAGGUCAUAGUGAUCCGGUGGUUCUGAAUGGAAGGGCCAUCGCUCAACGGAUAAAAGGUACUCCGGGGAUAACAGGCUGAUACCGCCCAAGAGUUCAUAUCGACGGCGGUGUUUGGCACCUCGAUGUCGGCUCAUCACAUCCUGGGGCUGAAGUAGGUCCCAAGGGUAUGGCUGUUCGCCAUUUAAAGUGGUACGCGAGCUGGGUUUAGAACGUCGUGAGACAGUUCGGUCCCUAUCUGCCGUGGGCGCUGGAGAAUUGAGGGGGGCUGCUCCUAGUACGAGAGGACCGGAGUGGACGCAUCACUGGUGUUCGGGUUGUCAUGCCAAUGGCACUGCCCGGUAGCUAAAUGCGGAAGAGAUAAGUGCUGAAAGCAUCUAAGCACGAAACUUGCCCCGAGAUGAGUUCUCCCUGAGACUUUAAGUCUCCUGAAGGAACGUUAAAGACGAUGACGUUGAUAGGCCGGGUGUGUAAGCGCAGCGAUGCGUUGAGCUAACCGGUACUAAUGAACCGUGAGGCUUAACCUUACAACGCCGAAG